UACGAAGGGGGCUAGCGUUGCUCGGAAUUACUGGGCAUAAAGCGCGCGUAGGUGGUCGUGUAAGCGGGGGAUGAAAGCCCAUGGCUCACCCAUGGAAUUGUUCCCCGGACUGCACGGCUCGAGGAAGGAAGGGGAGAAUGGAAUUCCCGGUGUAGCGGUGAAAUGCGUAGAUAUCGGGAGGAACGCCGGUGGCGAAAGCGAUUCUCUGGUCCUUUCCUGACACUGAGGCGCGAAAGCUAGGGGAGCAAAUAGG
RNAcentral lists this ribosomal RNA (253 nucleotides) under uncultured bacterium. RNAcentral describes it as "partial 16S ribosomal RNA". It matches the Rfam family "Bacterial small subunit ribosomal RNA", at positions 524 to 776 of the family's 1533-position model. The record is from RNAcentral.